Molecule: long non-coding RNA, 2010 nt
Organism: Triticum aestivum (bread wheat)
Lineage: Eukaryota; Viridiplantae; Streptophyta; Magnoliopsida; Poales; Poaceae
Exons: 3
Source: RefSeq, a predicted model, not a curated record
AAAACCCGAUGUCCCACUCCUCCCCCAUCUGUUCCGAUUCCGCCGCCGGCGACGCCAUCAUUCCUCCACUCCCUCCGACGUCGCGAUAGGAUCCCUGCACCUCCUCCUUCCACCGCAGACUCAACUGCCUGUACACGCCGCUGUUCAUUCCCUCACCGCCUUCCCCUCCCUCCACCUGCAUCUAAAGAUAAAUUGGAUCCAGAGUCUCCCACUGCCGCCAAUCUCCCUGUGCUAGACGGCCGGCUCGGGUGCAGGUUCUGCACCUUCCUCACAAUCGCUCCCUCUUCUUCUCUUUGUAUCCCUCCCAUCUCUGCUCACCCUGCUAGAUCUGCUGAUUGCCUUGCAGAGAUGAAGGUCAAGCUUGGCGACCGUUUGUCCAGAAGCUAUCCCACGUCCGCCUUCAGUUCCACAAGAUUGUUGAUGCCAAGGAUGUAGUCAUAGAGGUGGGAGGUCUGGGGCGAGAUGGUUUGAGUUUAGGUGGUGUUGCACGUGAUGGAGAUAUGCAGCUGUGGAUCAGAAGUUGAGAUCCUCCCCUUUUCUUGGUUUAUUUGUUUCAUGUCAAAUUCAUGAGUACUUUAUGCCUUGUAUAUCAGCCAACCAACUAGAGAUACAUACCGAACCAACUAGGUCUUCUGAUUCUAAACACCAACCAAUACUUGCAAAUAAAAUCUGACAGAACCUAAGACAGGAAGGUUUAUCUAGGCUUUAGUUGGAUCCUGCACAGGAUCCUGAUUAUCAUUGCCUUUUUGCGUCCCUUGAUAUGCGGCGGUGCCGACUGACUGUAGUGUUUGACCCACAUGACAAGAUAUGAGUCUGACCCAUAGUAAUCUUUUUUUCUUCAGAAACUGGUACAAUUAUCUAACAGAAUAGGAAUGGAGAUGUGUGUCGGGCCUGGUUUAUUUCGGCCUGAUGUACUUCUUACUAUGAGGUUAAAUCAGUCAUCUUGGCACACAGUUAAGGAUCUAAGGACGAAUUAUUAUUUUUGUUUAUAACACCAGGAGUAGACAGUUUCUUAUUGUGCCACACUGCCACUGUAUUAUCUAGCGUUAAUUUUCUAACCUUUGAAAGCAACCUGCUAUUCUCUCCUCUGUUGACUGCUUGAGUAACAUUAUUGUGAUUAUUCUGCGGAACACAUUUACCUCAUGUGUGUUUUUAUUCGAAUAACAUGAUGAUGGUUGUACCCUGCAGUGAAACUCAUCCAAAAGUUGGAGAUGUGCCUGGUUAAUUUGUAUAGAUCAUGAGAUGGUGAUGAGUCAUUCUGCUCCUUGCGGUUGUAAUAGCAUAUCUUCCAAAAGGAUUGCAAAUUUUGUGAAUUCUCCUGUGCCAUAUGGGCUGGUGUCAUCUGGAUAUGUUCAUAGUCAAUGUCCACUGAAAAGUGAGAAGAUUUCAGAGAGAACGUGGGCUGGACCUCGAAAUACAAUGGCUAGCUACAUCCAUCUUCAAUUACAAUGGAAACAUUGUCAAAAGGUCGAGCUUUUCUCCAUAUUCUUUUUAUUUUAGGACCACUUCUCUCCAUACUUUCCAUUUUUUGUUUUCCAAUUAACGGAUUAUAGGCCAAAUGAAUUUAUACACAAAUCAUUUUGGAUUAACAUAUUAUUCUUCCCUCCUACCUAUAGUGUUGUAAUAAUCUAUGGCUGAAGAUACUAACAACAAAAAUCAAUCACUAGAAGCAUCCCCUAAUAUGCACGGAUGUACAAUCUUGUAAACCACAUCUUUCCGUUUACGCCUGUCAAUUUCGUAGCAUAAUUGUCGUUCCAAGCUUUGUUUUUGUCAUUUUUAUUGAUCCUCCAUUUUCAAAGUUCUCUUCUAUUGAUUUCAUCGUGUAAUCUUAUUUUGUACUCCCUCCGUCCCAAAAUAAGUGUAUCAACCUUAGUAUAUCUUUGUAUUAGAGUCAGUACAAAGUUGAGACACUUAUUUUAAGACGGAGGGAGUACUAUUUUUAAUACUCCAGCUCUCAGUUUUGAAUUGCUUUUGUAUACUAUAUUCAAUUAAUGAUAACAAGAGUUCAUG